CCUACGGGUGGCAGCAGUGGGGGAUAUUGCACAAUGGGGGAAACCCUGAUGCAGCGACGCCGCGUGUGGGAAGACGGUCCUCUGGAUUGUAAACCACUGUUCCCAGGGACGAAAAUGACGGUACCUGGGAGGAAGCUCCGGCUAACUCCGUGCCAGCAGCCGCGGUAAUACGUCGGGAGCGAGCGUUGUCCGGAAUUACUGGGUGUAAUGGGAGCGUAGGCGGGGAUGCCAUUUGGGUGUCAAAACUACCGGCUCAACUGGUAGUCGCACUCAACACUGCAGCUCUUGAGUGAAGUAGAGGCAGGCGGAAUUCCUGGUGUAGCGGUGAAAUGCGUAGAUAUUAGGAGGAACACCAGUGGCGAAGGCGGCCUGCUGGGCUUUUACUGACGCUGAUGCUCGAAAGUGUGGGGAUCAAACAGGAUUAGAGACCCGAGUAGUC
This 439-nucleotide ribosomal RNA is filed under the name uncultured bacterium. RNAcentral describes it as "partial 16S ribosomal RNA". It matches the Rfam family "Bacterial small subunit ribosomal RNA", at positions 338 to 795 of the family's 1533-position model. The record is from RNAcentral.